Molecule: ribosomal RNA, 623 nt
Filed under: Fusarium oxysporum f. sp. lycopersici
Lineage: Eukaryota; Fungi; Ascomycota; Sordariomycetes; Hypocreales; Nectriaceae
Description: eukaryotic LSU rRNA
Rfam family: Eukaryotic large subunit ribosomal RNA
Source: RNAcentral
AACUUCUGAAUGUUGACCUCGGAUCAGGUAGGAAUACCCGCUGAACUUAAGCAUAUCAAUAAGCGGAGGAAAAGAAACCAACAGGGAUUGCCCUAGUAACGGCGAGUGAAGCGGCAACAGCUCAAAUUUGAAAUCUGGCUCUCGGGCCCGAGUUGUAAUUUGUAGAGGAUACUUUUGAUGCGGUGCCUUCCGAGUUCCCUGGAACGGGACGCCAUAGAGGGUGAGAGCCCCGUCUGGUUGGAUGCCAAAUCUCUGUAAAGUUCCUUCAACGAGUCGAGUAGUUUGGGAAUGCUGCUCUAAAUGGGAGGUAUAUGUCUUCUAAAGCUAAAUACCGGCCAGAGACCGAUAGCGCACAAGUAGAGUGAUCGAAAGAUGAAAAGCACUUUGAAAAGAGAGUUAAAAAGUACGUGAAAUUGUUGAAAGGGAAGCGUUUAUGACCAGACUUGGGCUUGGUUAAUCAUCUGGGGUUCUCCCCAGUGCACUUUUCCAGUCCAGGCCAGCAUCAGUUUUCCCCGGGGGAUAAAGGCGGCGGGAAUGUGGCUCUCUUCGGGGAGUGUUAUAGCCCACCGUGUAAUACCCUGGGGGGGACUGAGGUUCGCGCAUCUGCAAGGAUGCUGCGAAUG